This 243-nucleotide unclassified non-coding RNA is filed under the name uncultured Kofleriaceae bacterium. Its description in RNAcentral is "contains 16S-23S intergenic spacer region". The record is from RNAcentral. Lineage: Bacteria; Pseudomonadati; Myxococcota; Haliangiales; Kofleriaceae.
UCCCCGUUAUCCUGGGCACCCCUCCAUCUCUGGAAGGUUCGAGUGGAUUUAACCCAGGUAAGGUUCUGCGCGUUGCGUCGAAUUGAACCACAUGCUCCACCGCUUGUGCGGGCCCCCGUCAAUUCCUUUGAGUUUUAGCCUUGCGGCCGUACUCCCCAGGCGGAGUGCUUAACGCGUUAACUUCGGCACCGCAGGGGUCAAUACCCGCGACACCUAGCACUCAUCGUUUACGGCGUGGACUAC